RNAcentral lists this ribosomal RNA (481 nucleotides) under uncultured bacterium. Its description in RNAcentral is "bacterial SSU rRNA". It matches the Rfam family "Bacterial small subunit ribosomal RNA", at positions 30 to 504 of the family's 1533-position model. The record is from RNAcentral.
UGAACGCUGGCGGCAGGCCUAACACAUGCAAGUCGAACGGUAACAUGUCUAGCUUGCUAGAUGAUGACGAGUGGCGGACGGGUGAGUAAUGCUUGGGAAUUUGCCUUUGCGCGGGGGAUAACAGUUGGAAACGACUGCUAAUACCGCAUAAUACCUACGGGUCAAAGGGGGGAGUUUACUCCUCUCACGCGAAGAGAAGCCCAAGUGAGAUUAGCUAGUUGGUGGGGUAAAGGCUCACCAAGGCGACGAUCUCUAGCUGUUCUGAGAGGAAGAUCAGCCACACUGGGACUGAGACACGGCCCAGACUCCUACGGGAGGCAGCAGUGGGGAAUAUUGCACAAUGGGGGGAACCCUGAUGCAGCCAUGCCGCGUGUGUGAAGAAGGCCUUCGGGUUGUAAAGCACUUUCAGUUAUGAGGAAAGGUUAGUAGUUAAUACCUGCUAGCUGUGACGUUAAUAACAGAAGAAGCACCGGCUAACUCC